RNAcentral lists this ribosomal RNA (510 nucleotides) under uncultured bacterium. Its description in RNAcentral is "partial 16S ribosomal RNA". It matches the Rfam family "Bacterial small subunit ribosomal RNA", at positions 28 to 507 of the family's 1533-position model. The record is from RNAcentral.
GACGAACGCUGGCGGCGUGCUUAACACAUGCAAGUCGAACGAAGAGCGAUGGAAGCUUGCUUCUAUCAAUCUUAGUGGCGAACGGGUGAGUAACGCGUAAUCAACCUGCCCUUCAGAGGGGGACAACAGUUGGAAACGACUGCUAAUACCGCAUACGAUCUAAUCUCGGCAUCGAGGAUAGAUGAAAGGUGGCCUCUACAUGUAAGCUAUCACUGAAGGAGGGGAUUGCGUCUGAUUAGCUAGUUGGAGGGGGAACGGCCCACCAAGGCGAUGAUCAGUAGCCGGUCUGAGAGGAUGAACGGCCACAUUGGGACUGAGACACGGCCCAGACUCCUACGGGAGGCAGCAGUGGGGAAUCUUCCGCAAUGGACGAAAGUCUGACGGGGCAACGCCGCGUGAGUGAUGACGGCCUUCGGGUUGUAAAGCUCUGUUAAUCGGGACGAAAGGCCUUCUUGCGAAUAGUGAGAAGGAUUGACGGUACCGGAAUAGAAAGCCACGGCUAACUACGUG